This 460-nucleotide ribosomal RNA is filed under the name uncultured bacterium. RNAcentral's name for it is "partial 16S ribosomal RNA". It matches the Rfam family "Bacterial small subunit ribosomal RNA", at positions 338 to 795 of the family's 1533-position model. The record is from RNAcentral.
CCUACGGGUGACAGCAGUGAGGAAUAUUGGUCAAUGGACGAGAGUCUGAACCAGCCAAGUAGCGUGAAGGAUGACUGCCCUAUGGGUUGUAAACUUCUUUUAUAUGGGAAUAAAAUGUUCCACGUGUGGGAUUUUGUAUGUACCAUAUGAAUAAGGAUCGGCUAACUCCGUGCCAGCAGCCGCGGUAAUACGGAGGAUCCGAGCGUUAUCCGGAUUUAUUGGGUUUAAAGGGAGCGUAGGUGGAUUGUUAAGUCAGUUGUGAAAGUUUGCGGCUCAACCGUAAAAUUGCAGUUGAAACUGGCAGUCUUGAGUACAGGAGAGGUGGGCGGAAUGCGUGGUGUAGCGGUGAAAUGCUUAGAUAUCACGAAGAACUCCGAUUGCGAAGGCAGUUCACUGGACUGCAACUGACACUGAGGCUCGAAAGUGUGGGUAUCAAACAGGAUUAGAUACCCCUGUAGUC